GGUUGUGGCUCAGUGGUAGAGUGCUUGCCUAGCACAUGUGAGGCCCUGGGUUCAAUCCUCAACACCA
This 67-nucleotide transfer RNA is filed under the name Marmota monax (woodchuck). RNAcentral's name for it is "tRNA.Ala". Lineage: Eukaryota; Metazoa; Chordata; Mammalia; Rodentia; Sciuridae. The record is from RNAcentral.